UUAAGGCUUCGAAUGGACUGUGGAGUAAUGGUAUGGAUAUUAUAAUAUAUUAUUAUAAUAUUAUAAUAUUAGUUUAAAAAAAGCAAAAGUUUUCGAAUUAGAUUAAGCUUUUAGUUUCAGAGAUGGGUUUUGUCCUCGAGGAAUCAGAUGAAGGCUUCGAAUGGACUAUGGAGUCAUUAAAUUAGUAAAGAUGAGGAGUAAGAUCAAGAAAGCAUCGGAUUCAAAACUAUUAACAAAAUGAAAAUGAAAGCUCACCACUCACCAGCAGUUGUAGACAGAGACGAAGAAGAUGACAGAGCAGUUGCAGUCGGAGAAAACGGAGACGACGGAACAGUUGCAAAUGACAGUCAAUGGUGAUUCGUGAAACUCUCCCAAGCAGAGUGAUUUCUAAGGUUCGUGAGAAAAAUUGCAGUUGUCAAUGUGGAUUGUGGCAACAAUGCAUUCCCAUAUCCUUUUCAGGUUUUUCAUGUUUUGUUCUUUGUAAUUUUCAUUGUGUGAUAACUAUAAGGAACCUCCUAUAAGUUUAUGAUUUUUUGUGAGUUUUCAACAAUGCAGACCCCCUAAUUAUUAUAGCGUGCCCAAGCAAAAGGGUAGUACUCGAUGAAAAUUUAUAGUUGUAUUCCUCAGCUUACACCACAGUUUAACAGCUAUGAAAAUUAAGAGUUUUCAUAAUUAAAGUUCUAAUAUAUGCUCAUUCAUUUUGCAGGUUCAUAUUCUAGAAUAUAUGAUUUUUUUUUUCCAAAUUCCAACAAUUUAUUUCAGUUACACUUUCACCCAAGGUAAAUAUCACUAAAGUUGCUAAUGCUUUACCCAUGCUCACUAUAAACAACCGCACAGGUACUUUUCUUUCCUUUUGAUAUAAAAACCGUUUAAUUCUACAAUAAUUUUCUUCCUUAGUAACAAUGUUCAUUGCAAGCAUAACAGUUAUAAAACAAACAACUUCCACUAAAUUCAUUUUAUGAUGAUUCAAUUUCAGGUUUGAGAAAAUACUGAUUGUUUCCGUUUGAAAUUCUGUUGAUUUUCUAUUCAGGUUGAACCAAAAAGUCUCCAACGUGCCAAUUUUCAUAAUGGCGAUGUUAAGGGGACAAGUCAAUCAACGAUAUACCAUCACCUUCAAUGAUUGAAAGCUUUGGCAUGUGCUUGGGAUCUAGAUGAAAGCUCUAUCAACCUCUCCCAUGGUUUUUGUCAAUUGUUAUUUUCAAAGGUUAUGACAGUUCGUGCUGGCCUAGAAGAAAUUUUUAUGAUUAUAACGCCAUCAUCCAAUAUUACUAUUGUACAAGAUUCCUGAUCAACAAUAGUAAGUAUGUUACAAUUUUUUUUUAAACGCAUCAUAUUAAAUACAUUUAAAAACCUUUUACAUGUUUUAUCGCUUUUACAACAUGCAGCAACAUGCAAGCAUUAAUAC
This is a non-coding RNA of Malus domestica (apple), 1405 nucleotides long. NCBI's taxonomy places the organism in Eukaryota, Viridiplantae, Streptophyta, Magnoliopsida, Rosales, Rosaceae. The record is from RefSeq and is a predicted model, not a curated record.